This 23-nucleotide non-coding RNA is filed under the name Cricetulus griseus (Chinese hamster). Lineage: Eukaryota; Metazoa; Chordata; Mammalia; Rodentia; Cricetidae. The record is from RNAcentral.
GUACAGAGCGCGCUGGCCGGUUA